CCGGCACGGUGAGUAACACGUAUCCAACCUGCCGUCUACUCUUGGACAGCCUUCUGAAAGGAAGAUUAAUACAAGAUGGCAUCAUGAGUCCGCAUGUUCACAUGAUUAAAGGUAUUCCGGUAGACGAUGGGGAUGCGUUCCAUUAGGUAGUAGGCGGGGUAACGGCCCACCUAGUCUUCGAUGGAUAGGGGUUCUGAGAGGAAGGUCCCCCACAUUGGGACUGAGACACGGUCCAA
This 236-nucleotide ribosomal RNA is filed under the name uncultured bacterium. Its description in RNAcentral is "partial 16S ribosomal RNA". It matches the Rfam family "Bacterial small subunit ribosomal RNA", at positions 105 to 334 of the family's 1533-position model. The record is from RNAcentral.